RNA transcript from Nelumbo nucifera (sacred lotus), 1932 nucleotides. It is a transcript of the gene named PHD finger family protein, with no coding region annotated. NCBI's taxonomy places the organism in Eukaryota, Viridiplantae, Streptophyta, Magnoliopsida, Proteales, Nelumbonaceae. The record is from RefSeq and is a predicted model, not a curated record.
UCGCGAAUUAUUCCGCAAAAGGAAAGAGUCCUCUUCGUUAGAGUGUCGAUCGUCGGUCCCCCGUAAAAAUAACCAGGCAAAAGUCUCACGAAUUACGAAACGAGGGAACGUUUCUCUCUCUCUCUCUGUCUGUGUUUUGUUCGUUCCCUCCAUCCCAUUUGAAAAACUCACCACUCAUCACAUUACUCUCUUCCAUCUGCGUCAUUUAUCAUUAUAUAUAUUUCCUGUUUCUAUAAAUUUGAAAUCCCCUGCCGACCUCUCUUCCUCUCUUGGAAAAUUUUCUCAAACGAUCAUAUUGAGGAAUAAUAGAUAAUUGACGCAGAAGAGAGGUAAUUCGUCGAAACGCCGAACUUCUCGAAAUUCUUCAAUGUUAUUUUUACUUCUUGCAGAUUUCUUCACUGAUUUGAUCCUUAGAUUCUGAAAACCCUAGUUUAUAGGGUUUUUAGGGUUUCGAACACUCCUCAAUGCUGCUGGUGGCAUGAUGAAUCGGGAACAAGCCUCGGAGUGUGGUGGUUGUGACUCCGAGGACAGAUGGAUACUCCACAAUGUCCGCCAUCGAGGUAUAUACCGUCGAUUGUGCACUUCCUGUGUUUUGAAAUUUCAUGGCGGGUUAUUCUGUCCUCACUGUUAUGAGGUUUACGAAGGAUCUAUCCCUCCCCAUGAACGCGUUUUGUGUUUGAAAUGCCCUUCGGUUGCACACUUGGCUUGUGUUGGCUUGGAUAAGGCUUCUCGAUAUGUUUGUCCUCCUUGUUUGAAUUCAAGUUUUUUGUUUUUUGACGUCCCUAAGAAGACUAAAGGUGGUGACGGAAAAUCAGUUUCUGCGACUGUUAAGCGUGCAUUUGACCAGAAAUCCGCCAAGGUUCUUCUUGCUUCUGCUCGCAUAGCUGCUGUCUCUAUGAGUAAAGCUGCAGCUGCUGCUAGGAUUGAGGCGGAGAAGAGAGUAAAAGAAGCUGCUUUGACAAAGAAAAGAGCAAGAGAGGCAUUGGAACGAGUUGCUUUCCUCGUAGGCAAAGAGAAAGAGAGGGGUAAAGAGAUGACUUUGGUCCCUCGUUCAGUCCCAGUGUCGGAGCAGAGGAAGAAAUCAAAAGGGUAUAGUGCCGUUGCGGCUACAGUUGCAGCUCAUAAACGGAUUCAAGAUAACCUGAAGGCUGGCGGAAAUGAUAAACCUGGAGGUAUUCCGGUAAAUUUGAAUAAUAAUAUUGCUUCAAGAGAAAAAGAUAGGUGGGCAAGGAUCCGCCCUCCAAGUGUGGUGCAAAUGCUUCCUAAGAAUGGCAUUUCCGUUGACGACAGAGAUAAACAAAAAGCUUCUUCUGCUCCUGUUAUUGUGCGCCAACAACUUCAAAAUACUGAUGCGGUGAACGAACAUGACAGGUCGGGCAGUAUAUCUAAUUUUCAAAGCCAUACUAUGCAAAGGGAGAAGGGGAACAAUGGGAUAUGUUCGGUUCCUGCAGUUGUGGGACAGCAUCAGAACCCUCCAAAGAGUAAUGGUUUGGAAGAGGAUAAAGGAAAGUCAAGUUGAUUUGCAGAUUCUGAGAUGGGUCCACGAUUACCUAAGUCAAAUCAAGAUACAUUGGCUGCGAAGACAAAUUCAGGUGUUGUACUGACAGGAUCAUUAAAUGCUGCAUGCUAGCUUCUGUGGCAAGAAGCAGUUUUGUGAGACCCAGGAUGGCUGGAUCGUUUGACCUGCGAUUAUGCCCCAACAGCGGUCCUGCAACAGGCUGUGCUUGUUUCAGACAUGUAAUAUAAGCUAUACAUAUAAGUUGAAUAGUUGAUGUGAUAUAUAUGCAGUAUUUUUUUUUUCUUUUCUUUUUCUAAUGAGGUGAUUCUCAUCCUUAAAUGUUUAAUAAUCUAUUAGAAUAUUGCCCUGAUGUAUGAGGUAUUGCAUCAAAGCAGUAUGCUAACAAGCUUCCUUAACUCUUUUUGAGACUUUUA